AUUAAGAGCUUGCUCUUAUGAAGUUAGCGGCGGACGGGUGAGUAACACGUGGGUAACCUGCCCAUAAGACUGGGAUAACUCCGGGAAACCGGGGCUAAUACCGGAUAACAUUUUGCACCGCAUGGUGCGAAAUUGAAAGGCGGCUUCGGCUGUCACUUAUGGAUGGACCCGCGUCGCAUUAGCUAGUUGGUGAGGUAACGGCUCACCAAGGCAACGAUGCGUAGCCGACCUGAGAGGGUGAUCGGCCACACUGGGACUGAGACACGGCCCAGACUCCUACGGGAGGCAGCAGUAGGGAAUCUUCCGCAAUGGACGAAAGUCUGACGGAGCAACGCCGCGUGAGUGAUGAAGGCUUUCGGGUCGUAAAACUCUGUUGUUAGGGAAGAACAAGUGCUAGUUGAAUAAGCUGGCACCUUGACGGUACCUAACCAGAAAGCCACGGCUAACUACGUGCCAGCAGCCGCGGUAAUACGUAGGUGGCAAGCGUUAUCCGGAAUUAUUGGGCGUAAAGCGCGCGCAGGUGGUUUCUUAAGUCUGAUGUGAAAGCCCACGGCUCAACCGUGGAGGGUCAUUGGAAACUGGGAGACUUGAGUGCAGAAGAGGAAAGUGGAAUUCCAUGUGUAGCGGUGAAAUGCGUAGAGAUAUGGAGGAACACCCAGUGGCGAAGGCGACUUUUCUGGUCUGUAACUGACACUGAGGCGCGAAAGCGUGGGGAGCAAAC
This 721-nucleotide ribosomal RNA is filed under the name Bacillus sp. W0r-1. RNAcentral's name for it is "bacterial SSU rRNA". It matches the Rfam family "Bacterial small subunit ribosomal RNA", at positions 71 to 773 of the family's 1533-position model. Lineage: Bacteria; Bacillati; Bacillota; Bacilli; Caryophanales; Bacillaceae. The record is from RNAcentral.